Molecule: long non-coding RNA, 5566 nt
Filed under: Gossypium barbadense (sea-island cotton)
Lineage: Eukaryota; Viridiplantae; Streptophyta; Magnoliopsida; Malvales; Malvaceae
Description: long non-coding RNA (GBAR_LNC022289)
Source: RNAcentral
AGGUACAUAUACAUUUACAUAUGCAUAAUGUUGGUUUGGACUUGAUUUGCAAAAAAUUGGUCUUGUAUUGUAUGUUAAAGAGUUAUAUUCAUUAGACUGAAAACAAAGGUCUGCUACCCUAGCACGUCUCUGUCUGUUUCUUUGGCAAGGUUUUGGUUUUCUUGAGUUUUUCUUCUUUCGGCGGCAUUUAAUUUGAUUUAGAGAUUUGAAGAGCUUUUUACCCUUUUCUGGCAUAUUGUCAUGAGUCUAUGGAGUCAGAAUUUGCUGGACUAUCCCUUGAUGAUGAAGAAGAAGAGAUCCUGCAAGUACAAGGCGAUUCAGAUCCGGUGAGUGAGGAAGAAAUUCUUAGUCUGGUUGGAUGUUUUCUUACAGCCAGUAUCAUAUAUUACCCAGCAAUGAAAAGCACCAUGGCAAAUUUAUGGCAUCCUGUCAGGGGUGUUCAAAUUAGAGAUUUGGGGAGAAAAGGUAUUUAUUUAAAUUUUUUCAUAUUAUAGACAUGGAAAGAGUUAUUAAUGGUACUCUUUGGACAUUCAAUAAUCAUUUGCUGAUCUUGCACAAGUUGCAAGGAGGGGAAGACCCUCUAAGAGUUCCAUUAAUUUCAUCAUCGUUCUGGGUACAAGUUCACGGUGUGCCCAUUGGGUUUUAUUCUGAGAAUUUGGCUAUGCAAUUAGGAAAUUUUAUUAGAAUUUUCCAAGAUUAUGAUGGCUCUAGUUUGAGGAAAGAAAAUAUGAAUUUUAUGCGAAUUAGAGUUCAAGUUGAUAUUCAGCGCCCGCUAAAAAGGAAAAAGCAGGUUAAGUUUAAAAACAAGUGCUCCUAUGUUAGAUUUAAAUACGAAAGACUUACUCUCUUUUGCUUUUACUGUGGCCGUCUAGGCCACAAUGACUCCUUUUGUGAAGCUAAAAUGGAGGCUGGGGUUGAAGUUAAUGAAAUGGGAUGGGAUUUGUCAUUGCGAGCACAGUCAAGAAGAGCCCAAGCAAUGAGUAGUGUUUGGUUAAGGAAGGAGGAUCUGAAGGGGGAACGAAUAAAAGGGGCGAAUUUAAGGGAAACAGAGAUUGGGGAUUUGUUGAAAAAUUCGAGGGAAUUGUUGAUCCUAUUUUAGGUUUUAAUUUGGAAGUUAGAAAGGAAAAGAGCUCCAUUUGCUGAUAGUCAGAUAGCCAUGGAACAUGAUUUGGAGAAUGAGAUGAUUAUAGGGGAGGAGGGGAAAAAAAGAGUGAGGGAGGAUAUCGAAGAAAGGAGUGUUAUGGAAGGGAGAAUCAAGAGGUUGCCUGACAACAAUCAUUCGUUUCGGCGGCUGCCAAGAGGCAAGCUGGCCGAUCGCAAUGAAAAUCUUAACCUCGGACAAUUCAUCGGCUUUGGUAUUCAUUGAAGCUUUAAAAUCCCCAGGUGAUUUUCUUAAUAAAGACUAAAAUAAACAAGAAACGGAUGUAAAAAAUUCGAGGAAACUGUGGUUUUUAGUGUGGAAUUGACGUUGAGUCGGUUGGAUCUAGAGGAGGACUCUGUCUAGCAUGGCAAGGGAAUGUUAAUAUAGUGCUAUAAAGCUUUUCAAAUCGCCAUAUUGAUGUGAUUGUUGAGGAAGGAGACGGGGGAAAGUGGAGACUCACAGGGUUCUAUGAUUCUCCUUAUUUAGGUGAAAGGGAUGAAUCUUGGAAUUUGUUGCGACAACUACGUAAUCAGGGUGAUUUUCCAUGGUUGGUUUGUGGGGAUUUUAAUGAAAUCUUAUACGGUUUUGAGAAGAAAGGUGGAAUACCUAGAAAGGAAAGAAGGAUGGAAGCUUUUCGCAAGGUUUUAGACGAUUGUAGUCUGGUGGACUUGGGUUAUUCAGGCAAGCGGUUCACGUGGGAGAGGGGUAAUUUGCCAGAAACAAAUAUACAGGAAAGACUUGACAGAGGAGUGGCAACAGAGCAAUGGAAUACUUUAUUCCCAAAUACUCUUAUUCAGCACUUCCCACAUUCAUUUUUUGACCAUUGUCCACUUCUUAUUGAUACGAACUUCAGAGUUAAAAGGGCGAUAGAAAAGAAUUUCAAAUUUGAAGCAUGGUGGGUUUUGGAGGAGACAUUCUUCGAUGAAACCAAACGCAUUUGGGAAAAUUCCACAGGAGAUUUUUUAUACAAGCUGGAAAACUUAAAAAGAGGUUUAGAGAGGUGGAGAGCUUUGAUCCAGCAGAGUAAGAGGAUGAAUAAAGAGGUUUUAACUUCAAGAUUGAAAUUUUUACUCGAAUCAGAGAGAAGUGAUGAGAACCUGGCAGAGAUUAUUGACACAAAACUCCAUCUGAACUUUGAGAUUGAAAAGGAUGAAAGAUAUUGGGAGCAAAGGGCCCGAAUUAAUUGGUUGAAAUAUGGAGAUAGAAAUACAACUUUCUUUCACAAACAGGCGUCACAAAGAAGGAAGCAAAAUAGAAUCCACAUGUUGCAGUUUGAAGAUGGAAGGGAGGCAGAAGACUGUAGGGAGAUGGAGGACAUUGCUAGAUCGUAUUUUUUAAAGUUAUUUUCAACAGGAGGGCAAAAUAGCUAUGAGAAAAUUUUAUCAGGUAUUGAAAGGUGUGUCUCUGAGGAAGAUAACAUUAAACUGAAGGCAAGGUACACGAAGGAGGAGAUACGGGAAGCCCUUUCAGAAAUAGGACCUACAAAAGCUCCAAGAGAGGAUGGUUUUCCAGCCUUAUUUUAUCAGAAAUGCUGAUCAAUUAUUGGUGAUGACGUCUCCAAAUUUUGCCUCCAAAGAUUAAAUGAAGGUAUGGAAUUGCGUUCAAUUAAUAAAACAAACAUUGUGCUCAUCCCAAAAAUCCAGAACCCCUCAAGCAUUACUCAAUUUAGACCUAUUAGCUUAUGUAAUGUGAUCUAUAAACUGAUUGCUAAAGUCAUUGCAAAUAGACUUCGGGGGGUGAUUCAUAAAUGUAUCGAUUUAGCAUAGAGUGCUUUUGUUCCGGGAAGGCUGAUUUCUGAUAAUGUGUUACUUGCUUAUGAAAUUCUACACACCUUAAAACUUAAUAGGUUUGGGAAAAAAAGAUUCAUGGCUGUUAAAUUGGACAUGAGUAAGGCUUACGAUAGAGUUGAAUGGGGUUUUGUGGAAGGGGUGAUGAAAAAAAUGGGCUUUGAUCCAGGAUGGGUUGAUUUAGUAUUGAAUUGUGUCUCUUCGGUCUCAUAUUCUGUGAUUUGUAAUGGAAAUAUUGGACGAAUGUUUCUUCCAUCUAGAGGUCUUAGGCAAGGGGAUCCUCUAAGUCCAUUUUUAUUUCUUUUUUAUGGUGAAGGAAUCUCAAGUUUAAUGAGGCUUGCAAAAGGAGAUAACGUUCUUAAAGGUGUUAAUGCAAGUCGAAGUGGGCCAGCUAUAUCUCAUUUACUGUUUGCAGAUGAUUGCAUUUUAUUUGCAGAAGCUAAUGGAAGGGGUGCACAUUCAAUAAAACAGAUUCUGCAUGAUUAUGAGGUGAGUUCCGGGCAAUGUGUGAAUUUUGAAAAAUCGACUGUUUUCUUCAGUACAAACAUAGAAGAAAGUGAAAGGGAUGUUGUUUCACAGAUCCUUAGAGUCAGAAGAGAAAAUGAUUUGGAAGGGUAUCUUGGGCUUCCUAGUAUGGUGGGGAAAAGAAAGAGAUUGUCUUUUCAAAAUCUGAAGGAUAGGCUUAAGCAAAAAAUCGACAAUUGGAGUAUCAGGUUUCUCUCCCAAGGUGGAAAGGAAGUGUUUAUAAAAGCAGUUCUCCAAGCUAUCCCAAACUAUUCGAUGGCUUGUUUUUUACUCCCUAAGACUCUUUGUACAGAUUUGGAUAAAAUAGUAGCCAAUUUCUGGUGGCAAAAGAGACAAAAUAAAAAAAAAGCAUCCAUUGGUGCGUUUGGAAGGAUAUUUGUUUACUUAAAGAAGAUGGUGGCCUCGGUUUUCGUAAUUUUGCAAAGUUCAAUAUUGUGUUAUUAGCGAAGCAGGGGUGGCGUCUUAUUAAUUAUCUGGAUUCAUUAUUGGCCCGUGUUUUGAAAGCAAAAUAUUUUCCUAAUUCAGAUUUCUACAAAGCUCGGUUGGGGAAUUUACCUUCAUUUACCUGGAAAAGUAUUUGGGCUGCGAGAGGACUCCUUGAAAGAGGACGUUGCUGGAGGGUGGGGAGAGGUGAUCAAAUUUCCAUUUGGAAUGAUUCGUGGAUACCAGAGAACGAAGAAGAUAGAAUACCGAUUCAAGAUGGAAAUGAUAAUAUUAAAUUAGUCUCUAAUUUAAUUGAUUCAAAUAGUAGGAGUUGGAAAAUAAAGUUGAUAAGAAAUACCUUCCAACCGGUCAUAGCGGAGAAAAUUUUACAGAUCCCACUGGCGGAGACAGUACAAGAGGACUUUCAAGUAUGGAGAGGAGAACCGGUAGGGGAGUUCUCCGUAAGGAGUGCCUAUAAACUAUUACAUGAGCCUAACCUUGAUCCUAAUGGCUUAAUGUUACAUACCGAGACAAAAAAUUUCUAUAAUAAAUUAUGGAAAUUACAUAUUCCCUCAAAGAUUCAAAUGAAAGUAUGGAGGAUCUCUUGGAAUUUUAUCCCAUCUUUUAUCAACCUCAAAAUCAAAAGGGUUGUUAGGAAUUCUCAAUGUCCUAGAUGCGUAUGUGAUGAAGAGAAUAGCUGCCAUAUCUUCCAACAGUGCCCUACAUCGAUAGAGGUUUGGAAUCAGUUAAACCUUUCAUGGUUACUGAGUCAGAAUAAUGAUAAUAUGUGGGGUUGGCUUACCUGGGUCUUUGAUAAAGGAAAUGAUGAACAACUUCGAAUCUUCUGUUGUAGCCUCUGGUUCAUAUGGUUCAGUAGAAACCAACUCGUAUAUGAAAGGAAAAACAUGUCAGGAUCAGAAAUUGUUAGGAGGAUCAGAGAUUAUAUUACAGAACUUGCAGCUACAAAGGAAGGAAAACUUACUCUUUAUUCUCAUGAGAAUACUCAACAAGUACCCAGAAGGGGAAGGACCAUAGUUCAUUUUGAUGCAGCCUUCGACCGCCAGGAUUUCAGAUCGGCAUCGGGAUUAAUAACAUGGAACGAGGAAGGGGAAAUGCUUGCAACACAAGCAGUUACUCAUUCCAACAUUGCAAAUCUAUUUACAACAGAGGCAUAUGUAGGACUACAGGCAAUAAAACUAGGGAUUAGACUGGGAGUCAACAAAAUAGAAGUUAUGGGGGAUUCAAAAACCGUUAUCAAGAAAUGUCAAAGCACUAAUAUAGACAAAUCGGUCAUUAGAACAAUAAUCAAGGAUAUUCAGAUCCAUAGAAACAGUUUUCAGGAGAUUGAGUUCAUUUUCAUCCCAAAGGCGAAAAACAUCUAUGCGCAUACUAUAGCAAAGGAGGCCUGAGAAAAAGAGAAUGCUUUUACCUGGAGAAGGGAGCCCCUGAAAUGGUUCGGAGAGCGGUAGGAAACCUCUAGCCAAAACCUUCGGAUUGAAGGAAGUGAAGAGUUUUUUGGAAGAAAGAGUAGCAGAGAAAACGUUUUUAUUUUUUUGAAAGCCUACUAUUCAUUAUGGCUGGACAUCGGAAAUGAAAAGAAGAAAUAAAUGGUAUCCAGCUAUUUUUGAUUUGACUGGUUAGGAUAGGAUUAGUUUUAUUUUUUUAUUUUUAUUGAACGGGAUGGGCUAAC